GCCGAGGGGGGGUUGCGGCGCAGUUCUCCCGGCUCUGCUGCCCGCAGCACCGCUUCUCGCU
This is a microRNA precursor of Gallus gallus (chicken), 61 nucleotides long. NCBI's taxonomy places the organism in Eukaryota, Metazoa, Chordata, Aves, Galliformes, Phasianidae. The record is from Ensembl.